RNAcentral lists this ribosomal RNA (460 nucleotides) under uncultured bacterium. RNAcentral describes it as "partial 16S ribosomal RNA". It matches the Rfam family "Bacterial small subunit ribosomal RNA", at positions 338 to 795 of the family's 1533-position model. The record is from RNAcentral.
CCUACGGUAGGCUGCAGUGAGGAAUAUUGGGCAAUGGGCGAGAGCCUGAACCAGCCAAGUCGCGUGAGGGAAGACGGUCCUAUGGAUUGUAAACUUCUUUUAUAUGGGAAUAAAAUGUUCCACGUGUGGGAUUUUGUAUGUACCAUAUGAAUAAGGAUCGGCUAACUCCGUGCCAGCAGCCGCGGUAAUACGGAGGAUCCGAGCGUUAUCCGGAUUUAUUGGGUUUAAAGGGAGCGUAGUUGGAUUGUUAAGUCAGUUGUGAAAGUUUGCGGCUCAACCGUAAAAUUGCAGUUGAAACUGGCAGUCGUGAGUACAGUAGAGGUGGGCGGAAGUCGUGGUGUAGCGGUGAAAUGCUUCGAGAUCACGAAGAUGUCCGAUUGCGAAGGCAGCUCACUGGACUGCAACGGACACUGAGGCUCGAAAGUGUGGGUAUCAAACAGGAUUAGAUACCCGGGUAGUC